GCCUCACGAGCCCCCAGGGUCAGCCCUCGGAUGUCCUGGACCCGCCUCCAACCUGCUUUCACCUUGUCCUGCUCAGUCUGGAAAUUGCCAAAUCUUCGGCUUCUCAAAGCCGGUCUCAGUGGCUGUCGAUUUUUGGACACUGAGGAACUUUUCUCAAAGUAGCUGAACCAGAUUCCUGAAUUUUAGCUAUCUUUGUAUGACCGGAGCACCAUGCACAGUUCCAUCUCCAGAGAAUUCCCUAAGUGACAACUGGCCAAAAGAUGAGACUAUCUGGAGGGCAAGGCUUCCUUUGCACACCCC
This 300-nucleotide long non-coding RNA is filed under the name Pan troglodytes (chimpanzee). Its description in RNAcentral is "long non-coding RNA NONPTRT013598". The record is from RNAcentral. Lineage: Eukaryota; Metazoa; Chordata; Mammalia; Primates; Hominidae.